This 301-nucleotide ribosomal RNA is filed under the name uncultured bacterium. Its description in RNAcentral is "partial 16S ribosomal RNA". It matches the Rfam family "Bacterial small subunit ribosomal RNA", at positions 509 to 809 of the family's 1533-position model. The record is from RNAcentral.
CAGCAGCCGCGGGAAUACGAAGGGGGCUAGCGUUGUUCGGAUUUACUGGGCGUAAAGGGCGCGUAGGCGGACUGAUAAGUCAGGGGUGAAAUCCCAAGGCUCAACCUUGGAACUGCCUUUGAUAAUGUGUGUCUUGAGUUCGAGAGAGGUAAGUGGAACUGCGAGUGUAGAGGUGAAAUCCGUAGAUAUUCGCAAGAACACCAGUGGCGAAGGCGGCUUACUGGCUCGAAACUGACGCUGAGGCGCGAAAGCGUGGGGAGCAAACAGGAUUAGAUACCCCAGUAGUCCCUGUCUCUUAUAA